UACGUAGGGGGCAAGCGUUGUCCGGAAUCAUUGGGCGUAAAGCGCGUGUAGGCGGUCCGGUAAGUCCGCUGUGAAAGUCGGGGGCUCAACCCUCGAAUGCCGGUGGAUACUGUCGGGCUAGAGUGCGGAAGAGGCGAGUGGAAUUCCUGGUGUAGCGGUGAGAUGCGCAGAUAUCAGGAGGAACACCUAUUGCGAAGGCAGCUCGCUGGGACGUAACUGACGCUGAGACGCGAAAGCGUGGGGAGCAAACAGG
This 253-nucleotide ribosomal RNA is filed under the name uncultured bacterium. RNAcentral describes it as "partial 16S ribosomal RNA". It matches the Rfam family "Bacterial small subunit ribosomal RNA", at positions 524 to 776 of the family's 1533-position model. The record is from RNAcentral.